CAGCUUCUGGGUUUCAUGUUCUACCAGGAGGUGACACUUUUCAUUCUGGAACAAAUUCCAGACAGAACAGGAGAAAGCAAGAAGGCAGCCAUCUGCAAGCCAGGAAGAGAGGCUUCACCAGAACCCAGCCGCACUGGAGAAAUUUGUAGUAAGGAUGAGGACAUGGACCUGAAUGAGACACUCCCAACAUUACCGUUCUCUCUCUGAGCCACAGGCAGGGAGCUGGUGUCAGAUGAAGACCUCAUGCCCUGCAAGACACAGAGCGGGCUGGUGCUCAACCCACUAAGAAUGGUCAGUUCAUUGCACUGCAUUCUGAUCUGUGAAAACCGAUAGCCGCCCACAGUACAUCGGAAUGGUGAUUUGGCUUCCUGACCAAAAUCAGAACCACUGCCCCACAAGUAGGGUGGUUCUUCUCGACAUCAUGGGACAAAAAAAGAAAAUGCGGGCUUUCCUGAAACAUCUAUGACUCCUCAGAACGUCAGAACAUCCAGGACCCCAUUUUGCUGCCCCGCACCCAAGUACUGAGGCAUCUACACUGCUCAGCUGUGUGGGCCAUCACAGCGCUGGCUGUAGCUUCUUCAUUGUGUCAGGAAGCCAGAGAUGGUGCUGGUCCCCUGGCCCCAUGUCUUUUGCUUCUUCACGACAGGCUGCACCGUUGGCUCAAAAGCCCACAGGCGCCACACUCAAACUUUCACCCAUCCAACUGUUUUACAUGUAGCUCAAACAACAGAUUUUUGGCCAUUUAGAGCCCACUUGCUUUUGCACACCCCCACAAAACACCAAACAUCUGCUAGGCAGAGAUGAGAUAAAGCCAGGGCUACAGAAAGACCCUAAGCCCUGCUGCCCUUCAGAGCUCUACCCUAGGACCCCCUUGCUGAGUGACCCCAUCCAGAUACAGAAGCCCUCUCUCCCCAGGAGUUUCUCUGCCCUCCUUCUGGGAGUGGCCCACACUGGGGUCUCUGGAAGGUCCCGUGCUGUGAGGGACCCGCUGGUGUGCAAACCUGUCAGAGCCCCCCCCACACCAGGCGUGGUUAGGAGCUCAGCUUCAAGAGGAGAUCCGUGGUCAAGGCCCACUCUACCACCCAUUAGCCGAGCAACACGAGUCAAAGCACAGUCGUUCUGCAAGCCUCCGUUUUCUCAUCUACAAAAAUGCCUCAUUGCAUUAAGGUGAAGAUUCAAGGAGAUUGAGCCAUGAAGACUGCACACGGCCUGGCAGAUCAGUCACUCGAUAUGUGAUAGCUCUUAUAAGGGGCUCAAUACUGUCCCCACCCCCGGCACCCUGUUCACCCGGUGUACUUAUUUACAAUUUCCACCCACCCUACAUCCCUCCCUCCCUUACCAGGAAUAAUGCUGGUGACAGCUGGUAUCUGUGCCUCAGUCCUGACUUCAGUGGGAGCUGUCCCCAUGUUUCACUCUGAAGGAUGCUGUUUGGUGUUAGGAUGGAGAAGAACCUAGCAGUUCCUAGCAGAGCCCACUCUCUGGCACCCACCUCGAA
Long non-coding RNA from Callorhinus ursinus (northern fur seal), 1495 nucleotides. RefSeq lists it as uncharacterized. NCBI's taxonomy places the organism in Eukaryota, Metazoa, Chordata, Mammalia, Carnivora, Otariidae. The record is from RefSeq and is a predicted model, not a curated record.